AUACUCCACUCUCAAAUCCCGAAAUCACCUCUCUCUCACGAACCUCACUCACACACUGCAUUCCUCCCUCUCUCUUCUCCCGCAGACUUUUCCUCAUACCUCCCUUAAUACUCACACAGAAUCCUCUCUCCUACACGGACCUCACUCACACACCACGUUCCUUCCUCUCUCUCCUCCCCUAGUCCCCUCCAUAAACCUCCAUUCGUGCUCACACAAAUCUCCUCCCUCUUACAAACCUCACUCACACGCCGUACACCUUCCUUUCGCUCCUUCCGCGACCUCCUCCAUAAGCCUCCAUUCACACUCACACACGAUCUCCUUCCUCUCACGAACCUCACUCCCAUACCGCACUCCUUCUUUUCUCUUCUCUCGUGGCCUAGCCUCCUCCAUAUUCCCCGCUCAUACUCUCCCUCAUGGACCUCCCUCACGCGCCACAUUUUUUCUUCUUUCUCCUUCCCUGGCCUCCUCCACACACCUCCACUCUUACUCACACAAAAUCCUCCACCUAUGGUCAAAAUUUUAAACUACAUCAACCAACACAUAAAACUUAGAGUUUACUGUACCUCCCGUCCCCAUUUUUCUCUUUCCCUCGGCUUGCUCUGUCACCGUCCUCUAUCUCUUCCUCUUUAUCUCUUAUCGCUCCUCUUUGCCUCCCGUCUCUAUUUUCCUCCAUCCUUUGGCUUGCUCUGUCACCGUCCUCUGUCUCCUCCUCUCUCUCUCUUCUCGCUCCUCUCCGCUUCGACUCUUCUCUCUCUCUCUCGAACCUUCUCUUUCCCCCGAUCUCUCUUCUCUCUUU
RNAcentral lists this long non-coding RNA (796 nucleotides) under Carica papaya (papaya). RNAcentral's name for it is "long non-coding RNA (CPAP_LNC007829)". The record is from RNAcentral. Lineage: Eukaryota; Viridiplantae; Streptophyta; Magnoliopsida; Brassicales; Caricaceae.